ACUCUAAUUCAAAUCCAUCAGCAUAGUAGGACAAAGUUAGAUUUUGAAGUUAUAUCACAAUCAACAUAAGUUAUCAUCCCAAUAUCCCUAGUAUCUAUCCACUUAUCAUAUGUUUAAUUCUAUGUAUCGUAGUUUAUCUACUUAUGUUUUGAUACUAUAUUAAUUGUCAUACCUCUGACCAAAAUCAUAAGUCAAAGGUCACGACAAUCACCAUAUACUCA
Molecule: long non-coding RNA, 221 nt
Filed under: Elaeis guineensis (African oil palm)
Lineage: Eukaryota; Viridiplantae; Streptophyta; Magnoliopsida; Arecales; Arecaceae
Description: long non-coding RNA (EGUI_LNC037080)
Source: RNAcentral